Molecule: ribosomal RNA, 253 nt
Filed under: uncultured bacterium
Lineage: Bacteria
Description: partial 16S ribosomal RNA
Rfam family: Bacterial small subunit ribosomal RNA
Source: RNAcentral
UACGUAGGGGGCAAGCGUUGUCCGGAAUCAUUGGGCGUAAAGAGCGUGUAGGCGGUUCGGUAAGUCGGCUGUGAAAGUCCAGGGCUCAACCCUGGGAUGCCGGUCGAUACUGCCGGACUAGAGUUCGGAAGAGGCGAGUGGAAUUCCCGGUGUAGCGGUGAAAUGCGCAGAUAUCGGGAGGAACACCUAUGGCGAAGGCAGCUAACUAAGCUCAAACUGACGCUGAGGCACGAAAGUGUGGGGAUCAAACAGG